UACGUAGGGGGCAAGCGUUGUCCGGAGUUACUGGGCGUAAAGCGCACGCAGGCGGUCUCUUAAGUUUGGAGUGACAGUUGGUGGCUUAACUGCCAAAGUGCUUCGAAAACUGAGAGACUUGAGGGCUUCAGAGGGACACGGAAUUCCGGGUGGAGUGGUGAAAUGCGUAGAGAUCCGGAGGAACACCAAAGGCGAAGGCAGUGUCCUGGGGAGUGCCUGACGCUCAGGUGCGAAAGCCAGGGGAGCGAACGGG
Molecule: ribosomal RNA, 253 nt
Filed under: uncultured bacterium
Lineage: Bacteria
Description: partial 16S ribosomal RNA
Rfam family: Bacterial small subunit ribosomal RNA
Source: RNAcentral